CCUACGGGUGGCUGCAGUGAGGAAUAUUGGUCAAUGGGCGGAAGCCUGAACCAGCCAAGUAGCGUGCGGGAUGACUGCCCUACGGGUCGUAAACCUCUUUUACACGGGGAUAACACUCUCCACUUGUGGAGGUCUGCAGGUACCAUGCGAAUAAGGGCCGGCUAAUUCCGUGCCAGCAGCCGCGGUAAUACGGAGGGCCCGAGCGUUAUCCGGAUUCAUUGGGUUUAAAGGGAGCGUAGGCGGACGGUUAAGUCAGCUGUAAAAUUGGGCGGCUCAACCGCGCCACGGAAGUUGAUACUGGAUGCCUUGAGUGCACAAGAGGCAGGCGGAAUUCGUGGUGUAGCGGUGAAAUGCUUAGAUAUCACGAGGAACCCCGAUUGCGAAGGCAGCCUGCUGGAGUGUGACUGACGCUGAGGCUCGAAGGUGUGGGUAUCAAACAGGAUUAGAUACCCGUGUAGUC
Molecule: ribosomal RNA, 460 nt
Filed under: uncultured bacterium
Lineage: Bacteria
Description: partial 16S ribosomal RNA
Rfam family: Bacterial small subunit ribosomal RNA
Source: RNAcentral